This 283-nucleotide ribosomal RNA is filed under the name Triticum aestivum (bread wheat). RNAcentral's name for it is "partial small subunit ribosomal RNA". The record is from RNAcentral. Lineage: Eukaryota; Viridiplantae; Streptophyta; Magnoliopsida; Poales; Poaceae.
UCCGGCCGCUACCCCUUGUCUUCCUCACCCCUGUUGAGAGCAAGGGCAGCGCCGCUCGCGCGCGUGGACAGGGGCCGGGUUGCCAGUGCGGAGCUCGUAGUGGUCGCCGAGCGCGCGAGUGCAUCGGGUCCGAAGCUAUCGUGGCUGCUUCUCCUCCGCCGCCGCCGCCGCCGUCCUCUCCUCCGCCGCCGCCGCCGUCCUCUCCUCCGCCGCUGCCCGCAACGCCCCCGCGCCCGAUCCAGACCGGGGGAAAAGAAAAGAGAGCGAAGGGGAAAAGAAAAGA